RNAcentral lists this ribosomal RNA (492 nucleotides) under uncultured bacterium. RNAcentral describes it as "partial 16S ribosomal RNA". It matches the Rfam family "Bacterial small subunit ribosomal RNA", at positions 28 to 507 of the family's 1533-position model. The record is from RNAcentral.
GAUGAACGCUCGCUCCAGGCUUAACACAUGCAAGUCGAGGGGAAACGACAUCGAAAGCUUGCUUUUGAUGGGCGUCGACCGGCGCACGGGUGAGUAACGCGUAUCCAACCUGCCCACCACUUGGGGAUAACCUUGCGAAAGUAAGACUAAUACCCAAUGACGUCUCUAGAAGACAUCUGAAAGAGAUUAAAGAUUUAUCGGUGAUGGAUGGGGAUGCGUCUGAUUAGCUUGUUGGCGGGGUAACGGCCCACCAAGGCGACGAUCAGUAGGGGUUCUGAGAGGAACGUCCCCCACAUUGGAACUGAGACACGGUCCAAACUCCUACGGGAGGCAGCAGUGAGGAAGAUUGGGCAAUGGACGAGAGUCUGAACCAGCCAAGUAGCGUGCAGGAUGACGGCCCUAUGGGUUGUAAACUGCUUUUAUAAGGGAAUAAAGUGAGUCUCGGGAGACUUUUUGCAUGUACCUGAUGAAUAAGGACCGGCUAAUUCCGUG